Molecule: ribosomal RNA, 253 nt
Filed under: uncultured bacterium
Lineage: Bacteria
Description: partial 16S ribosomal RNA
Rfam family: Bacterial small subunit ribosomal RNA
Source: RNAcentral
UACGUAGGGGGCGAGCGUUGUCCGGAUUUAUUGGGCGUAAAGAGCGUGUAGGCGGCCAGAUAAGUCCGCUGUGAAAUCUCGAGGCUCAACUUCGAGCUGUCGGUGGAAACUAUCUGGCUAGAGUCCGGAAGAGGAGAAUGGGAUUCCUGGUGUAGCGGUGAAAUGCGCAGAUAUCAGGAAGAACACCCGUGGCGAAGGCGGUUCUCUGGGACGGUACUGACGCUGAGACGCGAAAGCGUGGGGAGCGAACAGG